Molecule: ribosomal RNA, 236 nt
Filed under: uncultured bacterium
Lineage: Bacteria
Description: partial 16S ribosomal RNA
Rfam family: Bacterial small subunit ribosomal RNA
Source: RNAcentral
GCAAGUCGAGCGAGAAGUCUUCUAGCUUGCUAGAAGAUAGACAGCGGCGAACGGGUGAGUAACAUGUUGGUAUCUGCCCCAAAGUCAGGGAUAGCCAUCCGAAAGGAUGAUUAAUACCGGAUAGUCUCUACGGAGUAAAAAUUUAUUGCUUUGGGAGGAACCUACAUUCUAUCAGCUUGUUGGUGAGGUAAUAGCUCACCAAGGCUAUGACGGAUAGUUGGUCUGAGAGGAGGAGC